Cygnus atratus (black swan) is the source of this 1841-nucleotide long non-coding RNA. RefSeq lists it as uncharacterized. NCBI's taxonomy places the organism in Eukaryota, Metazoa, Chordata, Aves, Anseriformes, Anatidae. The record is from RefSeq and is a predicted model, not a curated record. The transcript is spliced from 3 exons.
CGCGGCGUGGGCCGGGCCGGGGGCAGAAGGGAGAAGUUGGCGGCGGCGGCGGCGGGGGCAGCGCGGAGCGGCGGGGGCAGGUAACAAAUCUGUACCCAAAAACGAAGGCGCUCUGCUUCUCUUUGAAGAAAUAGCCCCGCGCUGCCCGAUGACUAACUGCUGGAGACCCCACCGGCAGAAAUGGCUCUGCAGGUUGCCCGGUUGCUCUGGCAAGGUUUGUCCCAGUUCCCAUCAGGCAGCACUCGGUAUGAAAACUUGCAGCUUCCCGCUACCUACGAGACCAUCCUGUUCAGCUCCAGUAAGCAAAGGCAAGGGAUUGAAAUGAGGUUGGUUUGUUUUCCGUUUUUUUGAGUUUCUCCAGUAUGUGGGGGAAGCAUACAGCUGAAUUCCUGUUUUUAACAUUCUUUUGGCAUGAUUCAAAACUAACCUGCCGUGCUGUCACCUGAAAUCUUCAAUAAAUGGUGCAAAACCCGUGUUUGGGUGCUCAUUACUCUAACUCAGGGCUCAGCACAGAGCCGAGCAGCUCUGUAAGAUGUAUUCGGUUACCCCGACCAAGCGAAGAGGAAGGCUGUACCUACUCAGUGAAGUACCUGUCUGAUACGUGUCACGUACCUCCCAUCUCUGAUUUUGCCUCUAUAUCAAGAGAAGGCAGUUUGAAAAGGAGGGGGGAAGGUGCCCUUGCGACCUGGCCGUCUCUCAAGCCAAAACCUUCGUGCUGGUGCCUUUGCCCCUGCCCUAGCUCAGGAGCCCUUUCUGAACGUGGAGCCCGCGGAGCCAUGACUGCUCUGAAGAGCGCUCCUGAGCGAUGAGAAAAUACGCCAGGGCUAAGGCGUCCCUUCAUUUAAGUGUUCAGCAGCCAGUAACCAGAUUUGUAAGGUGAUACUUCGGUAACCAGAGCAUCCAGAAGCUAAAAGAUCUUGCUGAGAAAUGAUGCGGUAAGAUUUGGGGGAGAGGCGUGCCUUACAGGUGGGGAAGAUGCUGAAAGUCACGCCUGUUAAGCUGAAGGGACUCUGUGCACCUCAAAGAUUUUGCUCUUCUAUUUCAGCACUUUGCAGAGGGAAGCGAGCAGGUGUAACCUGUCGUGCGCUGGGCUAGGAAGCACCUAGUGUGUUCUGUCAAUAGCGUGCCAGUGGCAAAUCAAAGCUGUGAGUCUCCGAGGGAGCAAGCUGGCCUGUCAGGAAAAGAAGGGCUACAUGAAUUGUUUAAGAGGACGUCGGUUAGUUACAUGGCAAGGUAGAAUGUGCUCGGUCUUUACUGUGAGACACAAAAAGGAAAACCAUCACUGUGAGAACAGACAAUGCUCUGCGUGGACAGACGUGCACACGUGCCAGUUCAGAUAGUUUCUCUUCUCUGGCUUCAGUGAGCUGCCCUUCUAGAAUCUGCACACCCGGGAGCAACAAACAGAGCGUCUGCACAUCAUUCAGAGAGCAAAACCAACAGGCAGUUUCUCCUCCAGUCAUUCACACCUUUCCUUAUGUAACUGGUGCUGAAGCGUGUGCUUUAAAAGCUGCUUGCCAAAUCCAGGGGCUGGGAGGAAGCACAAAUGCUUCUAGCACUCUAGAUGAAUUUCAAAAAAAAAGAAAAAAAAAAGAAAAACCCAACAGGACACCCAAAUCCUGGGGAGCACAUCCAAAUACCCAACUGCUCACGGGAUGUUUCAGGUGGCUGCAGCAGAGUUGUCCUUUGAGAAGCCAGCCCAGUGUGGUGCAGCACCGGUACCCCCAACUACCUUUAGCGGGGAGGAUGCCUGGCUUUGCAAGCAGACACAGUAUGGGGUAGAUGGGUGAGGAACCGAGAAUCAUUUUUGUCAUGCAGCAUUAAAGAAAAAUAAAUGAGGUUUU